GAUGAACGCUGGCGGCGUGCCUAAUACAUGCAAGUCGAGCGAACGGACGAGAAGCUUGCUUCUCUGAUGUUAGCGGCGGACGGGUGAGUAACACGUGGAUAACCUACCUAUAAGACUGGGAUAACUUCGGGAAACCGGAGCUAAUACCGGAUAAUAUUUUGAACCGCAUGGUUCAAAAGUGAAAGACGGUCUUGCUGUCACUUAUAGAUGGAUCCGCGCUGCAUUAGCUAGUUGGUAAGGUAACGGCUUACCAAGGCAACGAUGCAUAGCCGACCUGAGAGGGUGAUCGGCCACACUGGAACUGAGACACGGUCCAGACUCCUACGGGAGGCAGCAGUAGGGAAUCUUCCGCAAAGGGCGAAAGCCUGACGGAGCAACGCCGCGUGAGUGAUGAAGGUCUUCGGAUCGUAAAACUCUGUUAUUAGGGAAGAACAUAUGUGUAAGUAACUGUGCACAUCUUGACGGUACCUAAUCUGAAAGCCACGGCUAACUACGUG
RNAcentral lists this ribosomal RNA (497 nucleotides) under uncultured bacterium. RNAcentral's name for it is "partial 16S ribosomal RNA". It matches the Rfam family "Bacterial small subunit ribosomal RNA", at positions 28 to 507 of the family's 1533-position model. The record is from RNAcentral.